GACGAACGCUGGCGGCGUGCUUAACACAUGCAAGUCGAACGGAAAGGCCCUGCUUUUGUGGGGUGCUCGAGUGGCGAACGGGUGAGUAACACGUGAGUAACCUGCCCUUGACUUUGGGAUAACUUCAGGAAACUGGGGCUAAUACCGGAUAGGAGCUCCUGCUGCAUGGUGGGGGUUGGAAAGUUUCGGCGGUUGGGGAUGGACUCGCGGCUUAUCAGCUUGUUGGUGGGGUAGUGGCUUACCAAGGCUUUGACGGGUAGCCGGCCUGAGAGGGUGACCGGCAACAUGGGGACUGAGGUAGGGCCAAGCCUCGUACGGGAGGCAGCGGGGGGAAAUAUGGCACAUGGGGGGGGGGCGGGAGACGGAACCGCCGGGUGGGGGAUGCCGGCUUUCGGUUUGAAACCCCCUUUCGCCUGUAACGAAGGGGGAGUGAGGGAAAUGGAUAAAGAAGCCCCGGCUAACUCCGUG
Molecule: ribosomal RNA, 468 nt
Filed under: uncultured bacterium
Lineage: Bacteria
Description: partial 16S ribosomal RNA
Rfam family: Bacterial small subunit ribosomal RNA
Source: RNAcentral